This is a non-coding RNA of Mycena floridula, 97 nucleotides long. NCBI's taxonomy places the organism in Eukaryota, Fungi, Basidiomycota, Agaricomycetes, Agaricales, Mycenaceae. The record is from the annotation of a GenBank genome assembly.
GCAUUAAUGGGGUAGUGGUAACCUGGGUCGUUGCCAUAAAUGUUGUGAAUAUAGAGUAUAGCUCGACCCGCCGGGGGUUCGAUUCCCUCUUAAUGCA